This 253-nucleotide ribosomal RNA is filed under the name uncultured bacterium. RNAcentral's name for it is "partial 16S ribosomal RNA". It matches the Rfam family "Bacterial small subunit ribosomal RNA", at positions 524 to 776 of the family's 1533-position model. The record is from RNAcentral.
UACGUAGGGUGCGAGCGUUGUCCGGAAUUAUUGGGCGUAAAGAGCUUGUAGGCGGUUUGUCGCGUCUGCUGUGAAAGCCCGGGGCUUAACCCCGGGUUUGCAGUGGGUACGGGCAGACUAGAGUGCAGUAGGGGAGACUGGAAUUCCUGGUGUAGCGGUGAAAUGCGCAGAUAUCAGGAGGAACACCAAUGGCGAAGGCAGGUCUCUGGGCUGUAACUGACGCUGAGAAGCGAAAGCAUGGGGAGCAAACAGG